Molecule: ribosomal RNA, 623 nt
Filed under: uncultured bacterium
Lineage: Bacteria
Description: bacterial SSU rRNA
Rfam family: Bacterial small subunit ribosomal RNA
Source: RNAcentral
CCUACGGGAGGCAGCAGUAAGGAAUAUUGGUCAAUGGAGGCAACUCUGAACCAGCCAUGCCGCGUGCAGGAUGACGGCCCUAUGGGUUGUAAACUGCUUUUGUACCAGAGAAAACCUACUCACGUGUGAGUAGCUGAUAGUAUGGUAAGAAUAAGCAUCGGCUAACUUCGUGCCAGCAGCCGCGGUAAGACGAAGGAUGCAAGCGUUAUCCGGAUUCAUUGGGUUUAAAGGGUGCGUAGGCGGACUUGUAAGUCAGUGGUGAAAUCUCUUCGCUUAACGAAGAAACUGCCAUUGAUACUGCAGGUCUAGAGUAUAGAUGACGUUGGCGGAAUAUGACAUGUAGUGGUGAAAUACUUAGAUAUGUCAUAGAACACCGAUUGCGAAGGCAGCUAACGAAACUAUAACUGACGCUGAGGCACGAAAGUGCGGGGAUCAAACAGGAUUAGAUACCCUGGUAGUCCGCACCGUAAACGAUGAUUACUCGUUGUUGGCGAUAUGACAGUCAGCGACCAAGCGAAAAGCGANAAGUAAUCCACCCUGGGGAGUACGCCGGCGAACGGUGAAACGUUAAAGAGUAGUUAGACGUUGAGAGAGCGACGACGGACGACGACGGAGGGAGGAGG